This 387-nucleotide unclassified non-coding RNA is filed under the name soil metagenome. RNAcentral describes it as "partial contains 5.8S ribosomal RNA, internal transcribed spacer 2, and large subunit ribosomal RNA". The stretch from base 1 to 120 matches the Rfam family "5.8S ribosomal RNA", at positions 35 to 154 of the family's 154-position model. The record is from RNAcentral.
GAUGAAGAACGCAGCGAAAUGCGAUAAGUAAUGUGAAUUGCAGAAUUCAGUGAAUCAUCGAAUCUUUGAACGCACCUUGCACCCUUUGGCAUUCCGAAGGGUAUGCUCGUUUGAGUGUCAUUGUACUCUCACACUCUCCGAUCCUAUGGAUUCGGGGAGCGGUGGACUUGGGUGUUGCUGCCUUUCCUUGUGGCUCACCUCAAAUGUGUCAGUGCACCUCUUGGUUGGACAUAGUACGGCGUGAUAAGUGUCUUCGCCGGCACCUCGCAAGAGGGUGGCCGAUCGGGAGCUCUGUGCUUUCAAACCGUCUUCGGACAAUUUCUGACAACUUGACCUCAAAUCGAGUAGGACUACCCGCUGAACUUAAGCAUAUCAAUAAGCGGAGGA